UUAUCCCUCUCAACUGUUCAUCUUCUUCUACUUGAACCCCGAUCCUCUUACACCAUCUCAAUCCAAUCCGUCUUCUUUGCACUCUGCAAUCAUCCCAUUCUUGCAGCUGAACGAUGCAGCAGAAACAACGGCAACAUCGCUUCUCAAGCACACACGGCUCAUGAAUUCGACGAACAAGAUCAUAAAGUAGAAGCAGAAGAAGAAGCUCAAUCCAUCUUCUUCACAGUUGAUCUGUGCAAAUCAAUGGCAACACCCCUCCCAUGCGCCCGUGUGUAGAUGAAGGAGGUCACGGUCUGUUGCAGGUCAAUCUGUACGAGAAAGAUGAAGUUGACGUUGCUCCUGCAGACUUCAACUCUGAGCUUUAGGUCUGCACUUAACUGGUUUGGAGCUAGAAGUCGAUGGAGGCUUGAAGGAAUUUGUUGGGCAAAGGCUUGAAGUGCAGUAAUUCUCGCGUGCGUGUGGUUCCCUUGAUGAGAACUUAAAAUCAUGUUUUUGCCUUUCGAAAAAUUACUGUUAAACAACUUUUAUGGGGCUGGUAUAAAAAAUUAAAACUUUUAAUGGAAGUUUAUAUUAUUUAUAUAAGAAUAACUCUUUUGGAAGUUUUUUUAAAUUACUGAUCUAAUUAUUCAAACAA
Prosopis cineraria is the source of this 634-nucleotide long non-coding RNA. RefSeq lists it as uncharacterized. NCBI's taxonomy places the organism in Eukaryota, Viridiplantae, Streptophyta, Magnoliopsida, Fabales, Fabaceae. The record is from RefSeq and is a predicted model, not a curated record. The transcript is spliced from 2 exons.